UGCCAGACUCUGCCACACCUUCCUGGUCUGGUCUCUCUCUCUUUCUCUCUCUCUCUCUCUCUCUCUAUCUCAUUCGCCGACGCCAUUCAUCCUGAGGGUUCCCCUGGAUCCUGCUGGGGCUGGACACUGGCAAGUGGCGCCACGAACAGGGACCCAAAGAAAAACUAAAGAAGUUUGGGACUGCUGAUGAAUAAAAGGAAUGCCUCGGAGUCCUGAAUACAUUUUCCUGCUAGCCUGUGUCUCCCAAACUUAACUCAGCUUACUUAUCCAACCCUACCCCCACCCCCCACCCCCACCCCCCGCCUUUAUUACAGGUCAGAAAAUAGACAGAAAAAAGAUGGAUCAAAUCUACCAAUGACUCUGCCCAUAUGCCCCCUCCCUGUAACCCUCACACCCUGGGGAGAAGAAAAAACUAAUUAACACUUCUUUAGGCUAUGAAGUCCUUGCAUUGCCUGGGCCCAGAAAAAUUAUGCAUAAACGUCGGCCAACAAACUUGGGUUUUCAUCCUACCUCCAAAAGAAGGCUUUUGGACAUUGUGGCCCUUUCUCUGUCUGUGAAACAUGUUUAUACUACUAAAACUAUAGGGAAAGAGUUAGGGAAAGAACAAAACACAUUAUAUACUAUGCUGCUUAAGUGGCUUAAAAAGUUACUAACACUAUGUUGAAACAUUACCAUGACAAAGGACUUCUUGGCUGGCUUGACAGUGGAAUGACACCCUCCUCCUACUCCUGGAAUCGUCCUCGAUAAACAAAUUGGGCCUAAACUAUGAGACAUAUAUAAAACAUAAAAACUUGCUGCC
Molecule: long non-coding RNA, 799 nt
Organism: Cervus elaphus (red deer)
Lineage: Eukaryota; Metazoa; Chordata; Mammalia; Artiodactyla; Cervidae
Exons: 3
Source: RefSeq, a predicted model, not a curated record